CUCUUAUCGAGAGCAGGUGGAGGGACUGGCCCGAUGAAACCCGGCAACCGGUGGCCGAAAGUUUUAAACAUGCGGCUGCACGGUGCUAAUUCCUGCAGAACGUUGAGUUCUGGCAGAUAAGAG
RNAcentral lists this non-coding RNA (123 nucleotides) under Thermoanaerobacter pseudethanolicus ATCC 33223. Its description in RNAcentral is "SAM riboswitch aptamer (S box leader)". It matches the Rfam family "SAM riboswitch aptamer (S box leader)". From Rfam's summary of the family: The SAM riboswitch is found upstream of a number of genes which code for proteins involved in methionine or cysteine biosynthesis in Gram-positive bacteria. The SAM riboswitch acts at the level of transcription termination control. The record is from Rfam by way of RNAcentral. Lineage: Bacteria; Bacillati; Bacillota; Clostridia; Thermoanaerobacterales; Thermoanaerobacteraceae.